CCUACGGGUGGCAGCAGUCGAGAAUCAUUCACAAUGGGGGAAACCCUGAUGGUGCGACGCCGCGUGGGGGAAUGAAGGUCUUCGGAUUGUAAACCCCUGUCAUGUGGGAGCAAAUUAAAAAGAUAGUACCACAAGAGGAAGAGACGGCUAACUCUGUGCCAGCAGCCGCGGUAAUACAGAGGUCUCAAGCGUUGUUCGGAAUCACUGGGCGUAAGGCGUGCGUAGGCUGUUUCGUAAGUCGUGUGUGAAAGGCGCGGGCUCAACCCGCGGACGGCACAUGAUACUGCGAGACUAGAGUAAUGGAGGGGGAACCGGAAUUCUCGGUGUAGCAGUGAAAUGCGUAGAUAUCGAGAGGAACACUCGUGGCGAAGGCGGGUUCCUGGACAUUAACUGACGCUGAGGCACGAAGGCCAGGGGAGCGAAAGGGAUUAGAUACCCGACUAGUC
RNAcentral lists this ribosomal RNA (446 nucleotides) under uncultured bacterium. Its description in RNAcentral is "partial 16S ribosomal RNA". It matches the Rfam family "Bacterial small subunit ribosomal RNA", at positions 338 to 795 of the family's 1533-position model. The record is from RNAcentral.